GUUGAUUUGAGACAGGAAUUAUCAAUACCCGUCUCAGAUCAUCCUCCGCAGGGUGCGCCCACUUUCACGCCGCCUCGCCGAGGGC
This 85-nucleotide small RNA is filed under the name Mycobacterium decipiens. Its description in RNAcentral is "Mycobacterium sp. TBL 1200985 Actinobacteria sRNA Ms_AS-8". It matches the Rfam family "Actinobacteria sRNA Ms_AS-8". The record is from Rfam by way of RNAcentral. Lineage: Bacteria; Bacillati; Actinomycetota; Actinomycetes; Mycobacteriales; Mycobacteriaceae.